UAACCUGCCCAAGAGACUGGGAUAACACCUGGAAACAGAUGCUAAUACCGGAUAACAACACUAGACGCAUGUCUAGAGUUUAAAAGAUGGUUCUGCUAUCACUCUUGGAUGGACCUGCGGUGCAUUAGCUAGUUGGUAAGGUAACGGCUUACCAAGGCAAUGAUGCAUAGCCGAGUUGAGAGACUGAUCGGCCACACUGGGACUGAGACACGGCCCAAACUCCUACGGGAGGCAGCAG
RNAcentral lists this ribosomal RNA (238 nucleotides) under uncultured bacterium. RNAcentral describes it as "partial 16S ribosomal RNA". It matches the Rfam family "Bacterial small subunit ribosomal RNA", at positions 122 to 354 of the family's 1533-position model. The record is from RNAcentral.